UUAAAGGAAUUAGACGGGACCCCGCACAAGCGGUGGAUCAUGUUGUUUAAUUCGAUGAUACGCGAAGAACCUUACCAGGUCUUGACAUCCCCCGCGAUGCUUUAGAGAUAAAGCGGAGGUAUUCGGGGAGACAGGUGGUGCAUGGUUGUCGUCAGCUCGUGUCGUGAGAUGUUGGGUUAAGUCCCGCAACGAGCGCAACCCCUAUUGCUAGUUACCAUCAUUAAGUUGGGGACUCUAGCGAGACUGCCAGUGAUAAACUGGAGGAAGGUGGGGAUGACGUCAAAUCAUCAUGCCCCUUAUGACCUGGGCUACAAACGUGAUACAAUGGCUGGAACAAAGGGAUGCGAAGCAGUGAUGUGGAGCGAAACCCAUAAAAACAGUCUCAGUUCGGAUUGAAGUCUGCAACUCGACUUCAUGAAGUCGGAAUCGCUAGUAAUCGCGGAUCAGAACGCCGCGGUGAAUACGUUCUCGGGGUUU
This 477-nucleotide ribosomal RNA is filed under the name uncultured Acholeplasma sp. Its description in RNAcentral is "bacterial SSU rRNA". It matches the Rfam family "Bacterial small subunit ribosomal RNA", at positions 901 to 1382 of the family's 1533-position model. The record is from RNAcentral. Lineage: Bacteria; Bacillati; Mycoplasmatota; Mollicutes; Acholeplasmatales; Acholeplasmataceae.